ACGUAGGGAGCAAGCGUUGUUCGGAUUUACUGGGCGUAAAGGGCGCGUAGGCGGCCUGUCAAGUCAAUUGUGAAAUCUCCGGGCUUAACUCGGAACGGUCAAUUGAUACUGUCAGGCUAGAGUGCAGAAAGGGCAAUCGGAAUUCUUGGUGUAGCGGUGAAAUGCGUAGAUAUCAAGAGGAACACCUGAGGCGAAGGCGGGUUGCUAGGCUGACACUGACGCUGAGGCGCGAAAGCCAGGGGAGCAAACGGGA
RNAcentral lists this ribosomal RNA (253 nucleotides) under uncultured prokaryote. Its description in RNAcentral is "partial 16S ribosomal RNA". It matches the Rfam family "Bacterial small subunit ribosomal RNA", at positions 525 to 777 of the family's 1533-position model. The record is from RNAcentral.